RNAcentral lists this ribosomal RNA (253 nucleotides) under uncultured bacterium. Its description in RNAcentral is "partial 16S ribosomal RNA". It matches the Rfam family "Bacterial small subunit ribosomal RNA", at positions 524 to 776 of the family's 1533-position model. The record is from RNAcentral.
GACAGAGGGUGCAAACGUUGUUCGGAAUUACUGGGCGUAAAGCGUGUGUAGGCGGUUUGGUAAGUCGGAUGUGAAAUCCCCGGGCUUAACCUGGGAACCGCAUUUGUGACUGCAUAGCUGGAGUACGGCAGAGGGGGAUGGAAUUCCGCGUGUAGCAGUGAAAUGCGUAGAUAUGCGGAGGAACACCGAUGGCGAAGGCAGUCCCCUGGGCCUGUACUGACGCUCAUGCACGAAAGCGUGGGGAGCAAACAGG